GGGGAUGUAUUGCUUUGACGUAACAUCUUUUAGAUAGUCGCAGAUUGUCUUUGGACCAAAGACAUUAAAAAGGCCCGGACAAUAAAUGUCGAUAACAUAAUCUCAAAAGCAAAGACUGCUGUCAGCAAUUUUGUUGCCAGUUUCAAUGCUCCUGCUUUAGCUUAUUGCUAAUUUAGGCAUUUAUUUAUUUGUGUUAGUGAUGCAGAUAGGUAAGUGAAAACUCAGUCACUUGGCUAACUUUUUGAACUCGCGUUGCAAAAAGUUCUAAGACAUAACGCGGAUAGGUCAGUAAAAGUUUGUUUGUACAACUUAUUGAUCUUUAAUCGAAAGCAAACUAAAUCUGUAGAAGCUAUUUAAACAUUUGGAUACGGACGCGGGUUCAUAACCCGCCAUCUCCACUU
Molecule: transfer-messenger RNA, 401 nt
Filed under: Patescibacteria group
Lineage: Bacteria
Also listed under: 1 other name
Description: UBA1364 sp001029715 Standard tmRNA
Rfam family: transfer-messenger RNA
About the family: Bacterial tmRNA, also known as 10Sa RNA or SsrA, is named for its dual tRNA and mRNA-like properties. Its role is to liberate the mRNA from a stalled ribosome. To accomplish this part of the tmRNA is used as a reading frame that ends in a translation stop signal.
Source: RNAcentral